AGAGUUUGAUCCUGGCUCAGGAUGAACGCUGGCGGCGUGCCUAAUACAUGCAAGUCGAGCGAAUGGAUUAAGAGCUUGCUCUUAUGGAGUUAGCGGCGGACGGGUGAGUAACACGUGGGUAACCUGCCCAUAAGACUGGGAUAACUCCGGGAAACCGGGGCUAAUACCGGAUAACAUUUUGAACCGCAUGGUUCGAAAUUGAAAGGCGGCUUCGGCUGUCACUUAUGGAUGGACCCGCGUCGCAUUAGCUAGUUGGUGAGGUAACGGCUCACCAAGGCAACGAUGCGUAGCCGACCUGAGAGGGUGAUCGGCCACACUGGGACUGAGACACGGCCCAGACUCCUACGGGAGGCAGCAGUAGGGAAUCUUCCGCAAUGGACGAAAGUCUGACGGAGCAACGCCGCGUGAGUGAUGAAGGCUUUCGGGUCGUAAAACUCUGUUGUUAGGGAAGAACAAGUGCUAGUUGAAUAAGCUGGCACCUUGACGGUACCUAACCAGAAAGCCACGGCUAACUACGUGCCAGCAGCCGCGGUAAUACGUAGGUGGCAAGCGUUAUCCGGAAUUAUUGGGCGUAAAGCGCGCGCAGGUGGUUUCUUAAGUCUGAUGUGAAAGCCCACGGCUCAACCGUGGAGGGUCAUUGGAAACUGGGAGACUUGAGUGCAGAAGAGGAAAGUGGAAUUCCAUGUGUAGCGGUGAAAUGCGUAGAGAUAUGGAGGAACACCAGUGGCGAAAGCGACUUUCUGGUCUGUAACUGACACUGAGGCGCGAAAGCGUGGGGAGCAAACAGGAUUAGAUACCCU
RNAcentral lists this ribosomal RNA (800 nucleotides) under uncultured bacterium. RNAcentral describes it as "bacterial SSU rRNA". It matches the Rfam family "Bacterial small subunit ribosomal RNA", at positions 8 to 788 of the family's 1533-position model. The record is from RNAcentral.